AGCAGCCGCGGUAAUUCCAGCUCCAAUAGCGUAUAUUAAAGUUGUUGCAGUUAAAAAGCUCGUAGUUGAAUUUCGGGGUCAGUAGGUUGGUCAUGCCUCCGGUAUGUACUGGUCUCACUGAUUCCUCCUUCCUGAUGAACCGUAAUGCCAUUAAUUUGGUGUUGCGGGGAGACUGGACUGUUACUUUGAAAAAAUUAGAGUGUUUAAAGCAGGCUAACGCUUGAAUACAUUAGCAUGGAAUAAUGAAAUAGGACGUUCGAUCCUAUUUUGUUGGUUUUCUAGGAUUGACGUAAUGAUUAAUAGGGAUAGUUGGGGGCAUUAGUAUUCAAUUGUCAGAGGUGAAAUUCUUGGAUUUAUUGAAGACUAACUACUGCGAAAGCAUUUGCCAAGGAUGUUUUCAUUAAUCAAGAACGAAGUUAGGGGAUCGAAGACGAUCAGAUACCGUCGUAG
Molecule: ribosomal RNA, 450 nt
Filed under: uncultured Glomeromycotina
Lineage: Eukaryota; Fungi; Glomeromycota
Description: SSU rRNA
Rfam family: Eukaryotic small subunit ribosomal RNA
Source: RNAcentral